This is a long non-coding RNA of Solea senegalensis (Senegalese sole), 497 nucleotides long. RefSeq lists it as uncharacterized. The transcript is spliced from 3 exons. Lineage: Eukaryota; Metazoa; Chordata; Actinopteri; Pleuronectiformes; Soleidae. The record is from RefSeq and is a predicted model, not a curated record.
AGCAGAGCUGCACGACGCCGUUAAUGUUGUGAUAAAACAAGAGGGAAACAGUCAGAAGAUCGAAAACCUUCUGACAAAUGUGUCUUUGCUUCAAUGAGUGUUUACGAAAAUAGAGUCAGGAGACUAAAGUAAAUAUAUCCGUCUGUCCUCCCUGACAGUGAGGACAGGACUUUCACUGAUGCUGGAGCAGCUACAGGAGUCCAGAGAGGACAAACUGGGGACACCACAGGAGACGUGACAGCAGCAGACACAGGAAGUGAUGUCACCACCACCACACAGCCAAUGGCGCCGCUGGUUCAGGAGUGUGGGGGUGUGGCCAGAGAGCAAAGACUGACAGGAGGCUCAACCAAACAGAGGACGGGGACAGACACGCACACACUCGUGAUAAAUUAUAGCUGUGUGUGAUAUAUGACAGUAUAAAACAAUCCUUUUAUCAAUGUCAUGUUUGAAAACUGAAAACAUGUAUUUUUUUCAAAACAAAUGAAAUAUUUGAAAAA